Molecule: ribosomal RNA, 253 nt
Filed under: uncultured bacterium
Lineage: Bacteria
Description: partial 16S ribosomal RNA
Rfam family: Bacterial small subunit ribosomal RNA
Source: RNAcentral
UACGUAGGGGGCAAGCGUUGUCCGGAUUCAUUGGGCGUAAAGAGCGUGUAGGCGGCCAGGUAGGUCGGUUGUGAAAACUGGAGGCUCAACCUUCAGAGGUCGACCGAAACCAUCUGGCUAGAGUCCGGGAGAGGAGAGUGGAAUUCCUGGUGUAGCGGUGAAAUGCGCAGAUAUCAGGAGGAACACCAGCGGCGAAGGCGGUGCUCUGGGCCGGAACUGACGCUGAGGAGCGAAAGCGUGGGGAGCGAACAGG